AUUCAGCUGACGAGUCCUAAAUAAGGCGAAAUGUACGUCCUACAU
Molecule: non-coding RNA, 45 nt
Organism: Schistosoma mansoni
Lineage: Eukaryota; Metazoa; Platyhelminthes; Trematoda; Strigeidida; Schistosomatidae
Source: Rfam